RNAcentral lists this ribosomal RNA (772 nucleotides) under uncultured marine Phaeocystaceae. Its description in RNAcentral is "SSU rRNA". It matches the Rfam family "Eukaryotic small subunit ribosomal RNA", at positions 441 to 1217 of the family's 1831-position model. The record is from RNAcentral. Lineage: Eukaryota; Haptophyta; Phaeocystales; Phaeocystaceae.
UUGCCCGAAUCCUGACACAGGGAGGUAGUGACAAGAAAUAACAAUACAGGGCUACUUCUAGUCUUGUAAUUGGAAUGAGUACAACUUACAUCUCUUCACGAGGAUCAACUGGAGGGCAAGUCUGGUGCCAGCAGCCGCGGUAAUUCCAGCUCCAGAAGCGUAUAUUAAAGUUGUUGCAGUUAAAACGCUCGUAGUCGGGUUUCGGGUCGGGCCGAGCGGUCUGCCGAUGGGUAUGCACUGUUUGGCGCGGCCUUCUUUCCGGAGACCGCGGCUACUCUUAACUGAGCGGGCGUGGGAGACGGAUCGUUUACUUUGAAAAAAUCAGAGUGUUUCAAGCAGGCAGCUCGCUCUUGCAUGGUACAGCAUGGGAUGAUUGAAUAGGACUCCGGUGCUAUUUUGUUGGUUUCGAACACCAGGAGUAAUGAUUAACAGGGACAGUCAGGGGCACUCGUAUUCCGUCGAGAGAGGUGUAAUUCUCAGACCAAUGGAAGACGAACCACUGCGAAAGCAUUUGCCAGGGAUGUUUUCACUGAUCAAGAACGAAAGUUAGGGGAUCGAAGACGAUCAGAUACCGUCGUAGUCUUAACCAUAAACCAUGCCGACUAGGGAUUGGAGGGUGUUCGUUUCGACCUCUUCAGCACCUUACGGGAAACUAAAGUCUUUGGGUUCCGGGGGGAGUAUGGUCGCAAGGCUGAAACUUAAAGGAAUUGACGGAAGGGCACCACCAGGAGUGGAGCCUGCGGCUUAAUUUGACUCAACACGGGGAAACUUA